This 102-nucleotide non-coding RNA is filed under the name Clostridium colicanis DSM 13634. Its description in RNAcentral is "TPP riboswitch aptamer (THI element)". It matches the Rfam family "TPP riboswitch aptamer (THI element)". From Rfam's summary of the family: Vitamin B(1) in its active form thiamin pyrophosphate (TPP) is an essential coenzyme that is synthesised by coupling of pyrimidine and thiazole moieties in bacteria. Lineage: Bacteria; Bacillati; Bacillota; Clostridia; Eubacteriales; Clostridiaceae. The record is from Rfam by way of RNAcentral.
AUUGUACACUAGGGGAGCUGUUAUGGCUGAGAUGAAUUUUUAUUCAGACCCUUUAAACCUGCUCUGGGUAAUGCCAGCGAAGGGAAGUUGUAACAAUAUAAG